Long non-coding RNA from Amphiprion ocellaris (clown anemonefish), 791 nucleotides. Lineage: Eukaryota; Metazoa; Chordata; Actinopteri; Pomacentridae. The record is from Ensembl.
AUUGUAUUGUAGUUUCUUCUAUUUUGAGUAGUCUUUUAAAAACAGCCGCCCAAUUCCGGGUCACGUGCAGAGCUCUUAAUUUAGUUUGGGCCACCAGGUGGGCGUGUGUCAUGGCUGCGUCUUCCUGUCUGUGGACAGGUAACCUGCUGUUGAGACUGUAGGCCUCCCUGAAGGACGUACAAAGAAAGAACACAGAGAUCAUGUUUAAAGUCACUGAAGUGGCACCUGUCUUCCCUUCGUUCAACAUUACUGACUUUAGUUAAACCAAAUGAGGGAACCAACGCCUCCAGACGGUGAUACUGCCUUGAAAAGAUGGAGAAUACUUGCAAAGCACGAAAAUCCUUAUCGGACUAAAGUGGACUCUAAUACGAAUUACAUGCAAAUAUUUUGGAGAAGGGAGUUUACUGAACUGAAGAAGCGGACUUGUAUCCCUGAAUCAUCUUCAGCAAGAGGACUUCUGUUGGUCCUGUUAGCGCACCCAGAUCUGCUGGUUUUCCCUCCUUGCAUGGAUCAUGUAUCACCUGUGCAGCUGUAUCAAUUCAAACCUGUUCCAGCGAGUGACGCGACCUCUCCAUACCACAGCCAUGGAGCUCCGAUCAGUCAAAAGGUUGACAAAGAAGCAGCUGCCAAUAUGGACCUCGGAGGGGAAACAAAGGUCUUACAUUAUUGUUAAUGGAAGGUGGGAGCUAUACCUGAAUGGAGAAGCUGUGCAUUUAGCAAUAUGAAAAAGUGGGCUGGAGUUAAGAGAGCUCUUUUUGAUGAAUUUAUCUGACAAAUAAGACUAAAUUAAA